GUAUAUAUCUUAGUAUAUACAGCAUUUAUUAGUCGGCUAAAAAACAUGGCAAUUAAUAAGUCACGUUUUUCAGCCGACUAAUCAAUAUUGUAUAUGCUGGGAUAUAUAU
RNAcentral lists this microRNA precursor (109 nucleotides) under Picea abies (Norway spruce). RNAcentral's name for it is "miR11434 stem-loop (pab-MIR11434)". The record is from miRBase by way of RNAcentral. Lineage: Eukaryota; Viridiplantae; Streptophyta; Pinopsida; Pinales; Pinaceae.